This 497-nucleotide ribosomal RNA is filed under the name uncultured bacterium. Its description in RNAcentral is "partial 16S ribosomal RNA". It matches the Rfam family "Bacterial small subunit ribosomal RNA", at positions 28 to 507 of the family's 1533-position model. The record is from RNAcentral.
GAUGAACGCUGGCGGCGUGCCUAAUACAUGCAAGUCGAGCGAACGGACGAGAAGCUUGCUUCUCUGAUGUUAGCGGCGGACGGGUGAGUAACACGUGGAUAACCUACCUAUAAGACUGGGAUAACUUCGGGAAACCGUAGCUAAUACCGGAUAAUAUUUUGAACCGCAUGGUUCAAAAGUGAAAGACGGUCUUUCUGUCACUUAUAGAUGGAUCCGCGCUGCAUUAGCCAGUUGGUAAGGUAACGGCUUACCAAGGCAACGAUGCAUAGCCGACCUGAGAGGGUGAUCAGCCACACUGGAACUGAGACACGGUCCGGACUCCUACGGGAGGCAGCAGUAGGGAAUCUUCCGCAAUGGGCGAAAGCCUGACGGAGCAACGCCGCGUGAGUGAUGAAGGUCUUCGGAUCGUAAAACUCUGUUAUUAGGGAAGAACAUAUGUGUAAGUAACUGUGCACAUCUUGACGGUACCUAAUCAGAAAGCCACGGCUAACUACGUG